Molecule: ribosomal RNA, 501 nt
Filed under: uncultured bacterium
Lineage: Bacteria
Description: partial 16S ribosomal RNA
Rfam family: Bacterial small subunit ribosomal RNA
Source: RNAcentral
ACUCAAAUGAAUUGACGGGGGCCCGCACAAGCGGUGGAGCAUGUGGUUUAAUUCGACGCGACGCGCAGAACCUUACCUGGGCUAGAAAACACAGGAACCCGGGUGAAAACUCGGGGUGCUCUUCGGAGAAUCUGUGGUUAGGUGUUGCAUGGCUGUCGUCAGCUCGUGUCGUGAGAUGUUGGGUUAAGUCCCGCAACGAGCGCAACCCUUGUCGUUAGUUGCUACCAUUCAGUUGAGCACUCUAACGAGACUGCCGACCUUCAAGUCGGAGGAAGGUGGGGAUGACGUCAAGUCCUCAUGGCCCCUAUGUCCAGGGCUACACACGUGCUACAAUGGUCGGUACAAAGGGCUGCUAAGCCGCGAGGUGGAGCUAAUCCCAAAAAACCGACCUCAGUACGGAUUGGAGUCUGCAACUCGACUCCAUGAAGGCGGAAUCGCUAGUAAUCCCUGAUCAGCAUGGCAGGGGUGAAUACGUUCCCGGGCCUUGUACACACCGCCCGU